RNAcentral lists this ribosomal RNA (244 nucleotides) under uncultured anaerobic ammonium-oxidizing bacterium. RNAcentral describes it as "partial 16S ribosomal RNA". It matches the Rfam family "Bacterial small subunit ribosomal RNA", at positions 439 to 674 of the family's 1533-position model. The record is from RNAcentral.
GGAGUUAAGAAAUGUAGACUCGCUAAUAUCGGGUCUAUUUGACAAAGGCUCCAAAGGAAGCCACGGCUAACUCUGUGCCAGCAGCCGCGGUAAUACAGAGGUGGCAAGCGUUGUUCGGAAUUAUUGGGCGUAAAGAGCACGUAGGUGGAUUUGUAAGUCAGACGUGAAAGCCUUCUGUUCAACGGAAGAAUUGCAUCUGAAACUACAAACCUUGAGUGUAGGAGGGGAGAGUGGAACUUCUGGU